UUAAACCGGUUUGAACCAGUUUAAAUCUGGUUUAAACUGGUUUAAAUCUGGUUUAAAUCUGGUUUAAAUCUGGUUUAAACUGGUUUAAAUCUGGUUUAAACUGGUUCAAACCGGUUU
Non-coding RNA from Xyrichtys novacula (pearly razorfish), 117 nucleotides. The record is from the annotation of a GenBank genome assembly. Lineage: Eukaryota; Metazoa; Chordata; Actinopteri; Labriformes; Labridae.